RNAcentral lists this ribosomal RNA (467 nucleotides) under uncultured bacterium. RNAcentral describes it as "bacterial SSU rRNA". It matches the Rfam family "Bacterial small subunit ribosomal RNA", at positions 33 to 507 of the family's 1533-position model. The record is from RNAcentral.
UACGAGGACGACGCUGGCGGCGUGCUUAACACAUGCAAGUCGAACGGUAAGGCCCUUCGGGGUACGCGAGUGGCGAACGGGUGAGUAACACGUGGGUGAUCUGCCCUGCACUUCGGGAUAAGCCUGGGAAACUGGGUCUAAUACCGGAUAGGACCAUGGACUUCACGGUUUGUGGUGGAAAGCUUUUGCGGUGUGGGAUGGGCCCGCGGCCUAUCAGCUUGUUGGUGGGGUAAUGGCCUACCAAGGCGACGACGGGUAGCCGGCCUGAGAGGGUGUCCGGCCACACUGGGACUGAGAUACGGCCCAGACUCCUACGGGAGGCAGCAGUGGGGAAUAUUGCACAAUGGGCGCAAGCCUGAUGCAGCGACGCCGCGUGAGGGAUGACGGCCUUCGGGUUGUAAACCUCUUUCAAUAGGGACGAAGCGCAAGUGACGGUACCUAUAGAAGAAGCACCGGCCAACUACGUG